AGCGAACGCUGGCGGCAGGCCUAACACAUGCAAGUCGAACGAAGUCUUCGGACUUAGUGGCGGACGGGUGAGUAACACGUGGGAACGUGCCUUUAGGUUCGGAAUAACUCAGGGAAACUUGUGCUAAUACCGAAUGUGCCCUUCGGGGGAAAGAUUUAUCGCCUUUAGAGCGGCCCGCGUCUGAUUAGCUAGUUGGUGAGGUAAAGGCUCACCAAGGCGACGAUCAGUAGCUGGUCUGAGAGGAUGAUCAGCCACAUUGGGACUGAGACACGGCCCAAAAUCCUACGGGAGGCAGCCGUGGGGAAGCUUGCGCAAUGGGCGAAAGCCUGACGCAGCCAUGCCGCGUGAAGGCUGAAGGUCUUAGGUUUGUAAAAUUCUUUCACCAGUGACGAUAAUUACGGUACCCGGAGAAGAAGCCCCGCUUAACUGCGUGCCAGCAGCCGCAGUAA
Molecule: ribosomal RNA, 449 nt
Filed under: uncultured bacterium
Lineage: Bacteria
Description: partial 16S ribosomal RNA
Rfam family: Bacterial small subunit ribosomal RNA
Source: RNAcentral